AGCAGAAUGAAUGAAUUUUAAUACUGAACCAAAAUCAUCUUGUCCUCUCAGGCACUUCUAACAUUUAGGUGCUUUGUAAAGAAGCUAAAUUUAUGGUGGUAAGAAAUAGUACUCAACUCCACGAUUACACCUUCUACUAAGGGAGAGUGGAUCAGUGCCAGUGGUGAUGAUGGAGAAAACCAAGAAGGGCCGUCUUUCCUCAAGACUUAGCUAUAUUCCUUGUGUUUGAAAAAGAAGACCAGCACCAGAUGUCAUAUAACUGAAAAAUUAUGGACCAAAUUGAAUUUUUUAAGAAACAUGAGGUUUAAGUUUUAAAAAACAGAAUGUUACUGACUUUCCUAAGUACAAAUUCUGGAUGCAGGUGAUACGGACGUAACCUAUAAACAAGGCCCAGCGUCCAGGAAAAACAAAGACAAACAAACCCCAAACCAGGAUGCUAAUGAAACAGCCUCUUACGUUCUAGUUCAGCUAUCAAACAUACAUAGUUGGCUACAGAAAGUAUUUUUAACUGAAUGAUGACAAGUGGAAUCUAACAUCUUCAGAUGCUAAGGAGGACCUUCUGAGAAACCGUGCUGCAGUUUCUAGCCAGCGCACAAAGCCAAGGAGAACAAACACAGCAGCAAAACGUACAGCGGAGAAAGGAAGAAUAAAACUGUCAUUCUCAGAUGACGUGAGUCUAGGCUUGGAAACUUUAAGGAAUUGGAAUUAAGAAGACUUCUCAU
Orcinus orca (killer whale) is the source of this 722-nucleotide long non-coding RNA. RefSeq lists it as uncharacterized. The transcript has 4 exons. Lineage: Eukaryota; Metazoa; Chordata; Mammalia; Artiodactyla; Delphinidae. The record is from RefSeq and is a predicted model, not a curated record.